UAAUAAGCGGAGGAAAAGAAACUAACAAGGAUUCCCCUAGUAAUGGCGAAUGAAGCGGGAACAGCUCAAAUUUGAAAUCUCCGUCGCCGGCCAGAAUUGUAGUUUCGAGAAGCACUUUCUAGGGGCUACCGGUGCCGUCCAAUUUGCUAGGAACAGCACUCAAGAGGGUGACAACCGUCUGUGGCGGACGCCGCGACGAUGGCCUUUCGA
This 210-nucleotide ribosomal RNA is filed under the name Anthopleura dixoniana. RNAcentral's name for it is "partial 28S ribosomal RNA". It matches the Rfam family "Eukaryotic large subunit ribosomal RNA", at positions 44 to 249 of the family's 3401-position model. Lineage: Eukaryota; Metazoa; Cnidaria; Anthozoa; Actiniaria; Actiniidae. The record is from RNAcentral.